RNAcentral lists this ribosomal RNA (301 nucleotides) under uncultured bacterium. RNAcentral describes it as "partial 16S ribosomal RNA". It matches the Rfam family "Bacterial small subunit ribosomal RNA", at positions 509 to 807 of the family's 1533-position model. The record is from RNAcentral.
CAGUAGCCGCGGGAAUACGUAGGGCGCAAGCGUUGUCCGGAAUUAUUGGGCGUAAAGAGCUCGUAGGCGGUCUGUCGCGUCUGGUGUGAAAUCCCGAGGCUCAACCUCGGGCUUGCAUCGGGUACGGGCAGACUAGAGUGCGGUAGGGGAGACUGGAAUUCCUGGUGUAGCGGUGGAAUGCGCAGAUAUCAGGAGGAACACCGAUGGCGAAGGCAGGUCUCUGGGCCGCAACUGACGCUGAGGAGCGAAAGCAUGGGGAGCGAACAGGAUUAGAUACCCCGGUAGUCCCUGUUUCUUAUAC